CCUACGGGUGGCAGCAGUGGGGAAUAUUGGGCAAUGGAGGCAACUCUGACCCAGCAACGCCGCGUGAGCGAUGAAGGUCUUCGGAUUGUAAAGCUCUUUAAGCGGGGACGCAGAAAGUGACUGUACCCGCAGAAUAAGCCUCGGCUAACAACGUGCCAGCAGCCGCGGUAAUCCGUAGGAGGCAAGCGUUAUCCGGAAUGACUGGGCGUAAAGGGUGCGUAGGUGGUUUGGCCAGUUGGUAGUGUAAUCCCGGGGCUCAACCUCGGUGCUACUACGAAAACUGUUGUACUUGAGUGCAGGAGAGGUGAAUGGAAUGCCCGGUGUAGCGGUGGAAUGCGUAGAUAUUGGGAAGAACACCAGCGGCGAAGGCGGUUCACUGGACUGUAACUGACACUGAGGCACGAAAGCGUGGGGAGCAAACAGGAUUAGAUACCCGAGUAGUC
This 443-nucleotide ribosomal RNA is filed under the name uncultured bacterium. Its description in RNAcentral is "partial 16S ribosomal RNA". It matches the Rfam family "Bacterial small subunit ribosomal RNA", at positions 338 to 795 of the family's 1533-position model. The record is from RNAcentral.